GACGAACGCUGGCGGCGUGCUUAACACAUGCAAGUCGAACGGAAAGGCCCUGCUUUUGUGGGGUGCUCGAGUGGCGAACGGGUGAGUAACACGUGAGUAACCUGCCCUUGACUUUGGGAUAACUUCAGGAAACUGGGGCUAAUACCGGAUAGGAGCUCCCGCUGCAUGGUGGGGGUUGGAAAGUUUCGGCGGUUGGGGAUGGACUCGCGGCUUAUCAGCUUGUUGGUGGGGUAGUGGCUUACCAAGGCUUUGACGGGUAGCCGGCCUGAGAGGGUGACCGGCGACAUUGGGACUGAGAUACGGCCCAGACUCCAACGGGAGGCAGCGGUGGAGAAUAUUACACAGUGGGCGGAAGCCUGAUGCAGCAACGCCGCGUGCGGGAUGACGGCCUUCGGGUUGUAAACCGCUUUCGCCUGUGACGAAGCGUGAGUGACGGUAAUGAGUAAAGAAGCACCGGCUAACUACGUG
RNAcentral lists this ribosomal RNA (468 nucleotides) under uncultured bacterium. RNAcentral describes it as "partial 16S ribosomal RNA". It matches the Rfam family "Bacterial small subunit ribosomal RNA", at positions 28 to 507 of the family's 1533-position model. The record is from RNAcentral.